This 253-nucleotide ribosomal RNA is filed under the name uncultured bacterium. Its description in RNAcentral is "partial 16S ribosomal RNA". It matches the Rfam family "Bacterial small subunit ribosomal RNA", at positions 524 to 776 of the family's 1533-position model. The record is from RNAcentral.
UACAGAGGGUGCGAGCGUUAAUCGGAAUAACUGGGCGUAAAGGGUGCGUAGGUGGUGAUUUAAGUGCGUUGUGAAAGCCCCGGGCUUAACCUGGGAACGGCAACGCAUACUGGGUCACUGGAGUAGGUGAGAGGAGAGUGGAAUUUCCGGUGUAGCGGUGAAAUGCGUAGAGAUCGGAAAGAACACCAGUGGCGAAGGCGACUCUCUGGCACCAUACUGACACUGAGGCACGAAAGCGUGGGGAUCAAACAGG